AUUUGGCUUGCAAACUCUCUCGAAGUGUAAGCUGUGUUUCUUGGCAUUUUGCGUAGUGCUUAGACUUAGCAUUUACAUUUUGGUUUCAGCUGGUUUUGGAUCGAGUCUUCGUGUGAGUGUGUAAGAGAAUUUGCUGUGUCUGCUCUGAGCACUGGAAUUAUACUUCCAGGAGACGUCUACUUGGAUUUUUCGAACAACGAGCAAGUACACGAUGAGCAUGCCUUCUCUCAGUUCGGAUUGUUAGCCAAUAAAAAAUCUGCAACAUGGACUGCUUCCGCGUGCCUAAAGUUGUCAAUAGAAACGUGCUGAAGGCCAUUUAUUUUUUUUCGGAAUGCAUUUUGUUGGACUCCAUACCUUUGUCUUCCAUUAAGCUGGAGGUGGCCUACACAAUUCGCAACGCCAAUCCGGUUCAAGAUUUGGACUCCGCAAUUGAGUCGUCGCUGAAGAACUUUAGCUUAAUUGGCAUCCUAAAAGAGACAAUCACGGCCAGCGAUGAAAAGUCGUAUGAGCUGCUGUUGAAGCCUUCAAUCAAGACUUAAAAUCUCUGGGACGAUGUGCCGAGAGGGAGACCCUACUUGAAGGGUCCUCAAGUAAUUUUUGUUUUCAUUUUUUGGGAAGCUUUCGAAGGCAGCAUUUCACAUGACAAAGAGGGAGAAGACUUUGGAGAUCAACCAUACCGUUAUCAUUUGAAACUGUUGCUAAA
Drosophila guanche is the source of this 703-nucleotide long non-coding RNA. RefSeq lists it as uncharacterized. The transcript has 4 exons. NCBI's taxonomy places the organism in Eukaryota, Metazoa, Arthropoda, Insecta, Diptera, Drosophilidae. The record is from RefSeq and is a predicted model, not a curated record.